Molecule: long non-coding RNA, 221 nt
Organism: Ceratosolen solmsi marchali
Lineage: Eukaryota; Metazoa; Arthropoda; Insecta; Hymenoptera; Agaonidae
Exons: 4
Source: RefSeq, a predicted model, not a curated record
AAAAAGAAAAUCCAUCAGAAAAAUUUAAAGAUACACAGAAAAUUGCUUCCGAAGUUGCACCUAUAAAUGAACUCACUAAAAAAGAUUCGAUCAAAAAAACUUCCGUUAUUAAAAAAGACGAGAAAACUAUUUCCGAUGAUAAAAGCGAAACAAUUAGAAAAAAUUCUAUUAUUAAAAAAGUUGAGGACGAAUCAGAAACUAAGAAAACGUUGGAUACAAAA